Molecule: transfer RNA, 72 nt
Filed under: Sporomusa silvacetica DSM 10669
Lineage: Bacteria; Bacillati; Bacillota; Negativicutes; Selenomonadales; Sporomusaceae
Description: tRNA-Pyl
Source: RNAcentral
GGAGGGUGGAUCGAAGAGAUCGCGCGGACUCUAAAUUCGUGUAGCCGGGUGCGACUCCCGGACUCUCCGCCA